Molecule: unclassified non-coding RNA, 467 nt
Filed under: Hevea brasiliensis (rubber tree)
Lineage: Eukaryota; Viridiplantae; Streptophyta; Magnoliopsida; Malpighiales; Euphorbiaceae
Source: RNAcentral
GGAGACUGCCCACCUUGUUCAGUCCCUAUUGCAAAGGAGUGUGUUGGUGGGCAUGUAGUUCUUGGGAACAUACCUUGCGGUUCAAAAGAUAUCAGAUGUAACAAACUCUGUGGUAAAACCAGGCAGUGUGGUCUGCAUGCAUGUGGCAGAACUUGUCAUCCACCACCUUGUGAUACUUCGUCAGUAACUGAAGCAGGUUCAAGAGCUUCUUGUGGGCAGACAUGUGGUGCUCCUAGGAGAGAUUGCAGACAUACUUGCACUGCACUUUGUCAUCCUUCUGCUUCUUGUCCUGAUGUGAGAUGUGAGUUCCCUGUUACAAUUACUUGCUCCUGUGGCAGGAUAACAGCACCUGUUCCUUGUGAUGCUGGAGGGAGCAACAGUGGUUUUAAUGCUGAUACCGUUUUCGAAGCAUCCAUUGUCCAAAAGUUGCCAGUACCACUUCAACCAGUGGAAUCAAUAGGCAGGAG